Molecule: ribosomal RNA, 402 nt
Filed under: uncultured bacterium
Lineage: Bacteria
Description: bacterial SSU rRNA
Rfam family: Bacterial small subunit ribosomal RNA
Source: RNAcentral
UGGGGGAUAUUGCGCAAUGGGGGAAACCCUGACGCAGCAACGCCGCGUGAAGGAAGAAGGCCUUCGGGUUGUAAACUUCUUUAAGUGUGGAAGAUAAUGACGGUACACACAGAAUAAGCCACGGCUAACUACGUGCCAGCAGCCGCGGUAAUACGUAGGGGGCAAGCGUUGUCCGGAAUCAUUGGGCGUAAAGCGUUCGUAGGCGGUAUAUCAAGUCUGGUGUUAAAGCCCGGGGCUCAACUCCGGUUCGGCACUGGAUACUGGUAAACUAGAAUGCGGUAGAGGUAAGGGGAAUUCCUGGUGUAGCGGUGAAAUGCGUAGAUAUCAGGAGGAACAUCGGUGGCGAAAGCGCCUUACUGGGCCGUAAUUGACGCUGAGGAACGAAAGCCGGGGGAGCAAAUG